RNAcentral lists this long non-coding RNA (595 nucleotides) under Physcomitrium patens. Its description in RNAcentral is "long non-coding RNA (PPAT_LNC004256)". Lineage: Eukaryota; Viridiplantae; Streptophyta; Bryopsida; Funariales; Funariaceae. The record is from RNAcentral.
UUGGUUUAGGGUUUAGGAUUUUGUUAGAAUUUAGUUUAAGAUUUAGGAUUUGGUUAGGGUUUAAUUUAGAAUUAGGAUUUGGUUAGGAUUUGAUUUAGAAUUUAGGAUUUGAUUAAGAUUUGGUUAGGAUUUGAUUUAGGAUUUAGGAUUUGGUUAGAGUUUGAUUUAGGAUUAGGAUUUGAUUUAGGAUUAGGAUUUAGUUAAGAAUUGAUUUAGAGUUUAGGAUUUGACUAGGAUUUUAUUUAAGGUUUAGGAUUUUAUUAGGAUUUAUUUAGAGUUUAAGAUUUAGUUAGUUUUUGGCCUAAAGUUUGAAUGAAGUCUAAUAGGAUUUUAACUAAGAUUAAAUUAAGAUUGAAUCGAGAUAUAUUUGAAAUAUAUUUGUAAUCAUUCUAAUAUUUCUUUAAGAUUUCUUAUUAUUUCUCUGUAAUUCCUUUGAGAUUUCUUUGAAUUCAAUUAAAGCAUCCUUAAUAUUGUUAUGGUCUAAUUAAAGUUUAUUUAGUAUUCUAUUAGAGUUAGGAUUUUGUUGUUGCAAUUUCUAUUCUACCUUCUACAACCAAGUGCCUAGAGCAUUCUCAAGUAAGACUUCAUGUAUUAU